AAAGUAGCAUAAUCACUCGUCAUUUAAUUGAUGACUGGAAUGAAUGGUUAUACGAAUCCUCAACUGUCUCAUUAAUAAGAUUAAUAAAAUUGAAUUAAUAGUGAAGAUACUAUUUAUUAAUUGUAAGACGAAAAGACCCUAUCGAGCUUUACUAAAUGCCUAAACCUAAAAAAAUAUACUACCAACAAUUAAAGUUUAGGACAACUAGUUUGGUUGGGGCGACCACCUCUAAAACAGUAUCAGAGGAAAUCUUAAGGUAAGUAACAAUAUAUAAUAGCCUAACUGCAUAUUUACUAAUUAACCAGAUACUAUAGGUAGGAUAUAAUGACCCGUUAAAGGAUUUUUAAAUUUAACGACUAUGAAAAAAGUUACCGUAGGGAUAACAGGGUAAUAUUUCUGAAGAGUUCAUAUCGAUAGAAAUGUUUGCCACCUCGAUGUUGAAUUGUGAUAUCCUAAAGGUGCAGCAGCUUUU
This 472-nucleotide ribosomal RNA is filed under the name Catostylus sp. JX-2016. Its description in RNAcentral is "partial 16S ribosomal RNA". It matches the Rfam family "Bacterial large subunit ribosomal RNA", at positions 1953 to 2566 of the family's 2925-position model. The record is from RNAcentral. Lineage: Eukaryota; Metazoa; Cnidaria; Scyphozoa; Rhizostomeae; Catostylidae.